Molecule: ribosomal RNA, 539 nt
Filed under: uncultured bacterium
Lineage: Bacteria
Description: bacterial SSU rRNA
Rfam family: Bacterial small subunit ribosomal RNA
Source: RNAcentral
UUACCUGGUCUUGACAUAGUAAGAACUUUCCAGAGAUGGAUUGGUGCCUUCGGGAACUUACAUACAGGUGCUGCAUGGCUGUCGUCAGCUCGUGUCGUGAGAUGUUGGGUUAAGUCCCGCAACGAGCGCAACCCUUUUCCUUAUUUGCCAGCGGGUUAAGCCGGGAACUUUAAGGAUACUGCCAGUGACAAACUGGAGGAAGGCGGGGACGACGUCAAGUCAUCAUGGCCCUUACGACCAGGGCUACACACGUGCUACAAUGGUCGGUACAAAGGGUUGCUACCACGCGAGUGGAUGCUAAUCUCAAAAAGCCGAUCGUAGUCCGGAUUGGAGUCUGCAACUCGACUCCAUGAAGUCGGAAUCGCCAGUAAUCGCGGAUCAGAAUGCCGCGGUGAAUACGUUCCCGGGCCUUGUACACACCGCCCGUCACACCAUGGGAGUUUGUUGCACCAGAAGUAGGUAGUCUAACCGCAAGGAGGACGCUUACCACGGUGUGGCAGAUGACUGGGGUGAAGUCGUAACAAGGUAGGCGUAGAUGA